UACGGGGGGAGCAAGCGUUGUUCGGAUUUACUGGGCGUAAAGGGCGCGUAGGCGGUAGCACAAGUCAGUUGUGAAAUCUCCGGGCUUAACUCGGAAAGGUCAACUGAUACUGUGCGACUAGAGUGCAGAAGGGGCAACUGGAAUUCUCGGUGUAGCGGUGAAAUGCGUAGAUAUCGAGAGGAACACCUGCGGCGAAGGCGGGUUGCUGGGCUGACACUGACGCUGAUGCGCGACAGCGUGGGGAGCAAACAGG
Molecule: ribosomal RNA, 253 nt
Filed under: uncultured bacterium
Lineage: Bacteria
Description: partial 16S ribosomal RNA
Rfam family: Bacterial small subunit ribosomal RNA
Source: RNAcentral